UACGUAGGGAGCAAGCGUUGUCCGGAAUCAUUGGGCGUAAAGAGCGUGUAGGCGGCCCGGUAAGUCGGUUGUGAAAGUCAAGGGCUCAACCCUUGAAAGCCGACCGAUACUGUCGGGCUAGAAUCCGGAAGAGGCGAGUGGAAUUCCUGGUGUAGCGGUGAAAUGCGCAGAUAUCAGGAGGAACACCGAUGGCGAAGGCAGCUCGCUGGGACGGUAUUGACGCUGAGACGCGAAAGCGUGGGGAGCAAACAGG
This 253-nucleotide ribosomal RNA is filed under the name uncultured bacterium. Its description in RNAcentral is "partial 16S ribosomal RNA". It matches the Rfam family "Bacterial small subunit ribosomal RNA", at positions 524 to 776 of the family's 1533-position model. The record is from RNAcentral.